AGCAGCCGCGGUAAUUCCAGCUCCAAUAGCGUAUAUUAAAGUUGUUGCAGUUAAAAAGCUCGUAGUUGAAUUUCGGGGUUCUACCGUUGGUCGGGCUAUAGUCUGUACUGGCGUGUGGAAUUUCUACCUUCUGGGGAACUAUCAUGUUAUUAAUUUAGCGUGGUAGGAAACCAGAACCUUUACCUUGAAAAAAUUAGAGUGUUCAAAGCAGGCUUACGUCUGAAUACAUUAGCAUGGAAUAAUAAAAUAGGACGGUGGUCCUGUUUUGUUGGUUUCUGAAUCACCGUAAUGAUUAAUAGGGAUAGUUGGGGGCAUUAGUAUUCAAUUGUCAGAGGUGAAAUUCUUGGAUUUAUUGAAGACUAACUUCUGCGAAAGCAUUUGCCAAGGAUGUUUUCAUUAAUCAAGAACGAAAGUUAGGGGAUCGAAGACGAUCAGAUACCGUCGUAGUCUUAACCAUAAACU
RNAcentral lists this small RNA (462 nucleotides) under uncultured Gigaspora. RNAcentral's name for it is "SSU rRNA". It matches the Rfam family "Eukaryotic small subunit ribosomal RNA", at positions 569 to 1038 of the family's 1831-position model. Lineage: Eukaryota; Fungi; Glomeromycota; Glomeromycetes; Diversisporales; Gigasporaceae. The record is from RNAcentral.